GCCUGUGUGGUGCAGUGGUUAGCGUGUUGGACUAGGACCUGGGAGACAUGGGUUCAAAUCCCCACAGACC
Molecule: transfer RNA, 70 nt
Filed under: Podarcis lilfordi (Lilford's wall lizard)
Lineage: Eukaryota; Metazoa; Chordata; Lepidosauria; Squamata; Lacertidae
Description: tRNA.Pro
Source: RNAcentral